ACCCAGCUUCCUACCUUUCGAAGUGCCUGGGCGACGAGGCCCGAACCUCAGCCUGUCUCGCGUCCCCGCCCUUCGCAGACCGACGCUGGCUCCUGUGGACGGCCGAGCGCCCGCGAGCUGUCGUCGAAGGAAGGGCUGCGCGCGCAGCCAGCACCUGAGUCCCGGCGCCUCCUACACCGACCUGUAAUCCUUUCCCAGCCGACGUUCCGCGUGCCUUUCCUGUCAUUUAACUGCCCUGAAGAGUAAAGAUGACGUCUUUUGGGACGGUCAUUAAGUUUUCCGUUUCCUCAUUCCAGAAUGUCUGCUGAGCAGUUAAAUGCAGUCAGCGAUAAAGGCACCGAGCCCGAGCUCGCUGUGUUCUCUCCGUGGUGGUUUAAGGAAGUGGGCGGCUUCUGAGGACUGUGACCUCGGGGAGAGGGGCCCUGUGAAUGCUAGAGCCCUGGUAAAUCGCUGCCGGUGACUUACCACCCUUAAUCCCUGCACUCGGGAGGCACAGGCAGGUGAAUCUCAGAGUUUGAGGCCAGCCUGGUCUACAGAGCGAGUUCCAGGACAGCCAAGGCCUGUCUCGACCCCCACCCCCAGCUCCACCCCAGCGCCCCCCAAAAACUCCUGAUUCAUCAAACACUGGUGAGACCCACACUCAGUAACGCCCUGCUUUUGUCGCCGGUACUAUUACAGUUUGUUUGGCAUCCUGUAAAAGCAGUUUUAUUCUGUUCGCAGAGCAGACCUGCGAAAGCUUUGCUUAUUUUAACACCCCUGAUUCUCAAAUAGCAUUGACCCAGGGGAGCUGGAGAGAGGGCUCAGGGGUUAAGAGCAUUUACUGCCCUUCCACAGGAAGGUAUGUUCGGAUCCCACACGUUCCGGCUCUGUGGGGAUUCGCACACGCGUGUCAUAUGUUCACAGAGACACACACACAACACUGAGGGUUGAAUCUGGAGCCUCCUGAAUGUGAUGCAAGGGCUCCUACCACUGACGCUGAGCUACCCACCACCACCUCUGCGUCUCAGCAAAUCCCUCACACACACCUGUUGUGAAACGGCCUUGAAUUUUGGUCUUCCUAUCACAAGCCAUGGAACAGCUGAGACUACGUGGGAUUACAGACCUACACCACCAGACCUGGGUCAGGCCUGGCUUUAGCAAACUCUUCUUUCUUCAUUUCAUUUAUUUAUUUUUGUUUCCUAGAGACAGGGUUUCUCUGUGUGCCCUGGCUGGACUGGAACUCUGUAGAGCAGGCUGGCCUCAAACUCACAUCUUCAGUAGCAGAGCAUAAAUAGGGUCAGUUGUCAGUAUCAGCUCUACAGUUUUGUUGAAACCGUUUCUUUUGUUGCAGGAAAGGUAUCCCACGGUAGGUAAGAUGGUGCCCACCUUCCAUUCCCUUAUCAUGAGGUUGAGACAGGAUGAUGUCUCAAGUUUGAGGCCAGCCUGGUUUACACAGAAUGUUUCAGGACAACCUGAGCUAUGUAGUAAGACCAAAUUUCCUUCGUUGCCCUCCCCCAAAGGAGCACUCUGGCUAUCCCUGGAGCACCACACCUGUAAGAACACAGGUUAGCAACGGAUGCUGCUGGGUUCUGCCACUUUACUUCCUGUUCAGCUUCUUCCCUCCAUUUGCAUAUCUUCUGCAUGUCAGGGAGAAUAUUUUUCCUCUAAUAUUUUUAGUGGAAAUGUAGAGAGGAAGGACAAAAGCCCACAUUUCUUCAACAUUUCAACCAACAACCUCAUUUUCUUCCAACAGUUGAAGGGAAGUUCUUAUGAAUAAUGGAUGAUUGCCUGAUGAAUAUGCACACAGUCCAUUAUGCCUGUGAGGUCUGGUAAAUAAUUUAUGAGCUAAAAUGUUCUUCACCUUGCUACUGUACAAAAACUUAAAAAAAAAACCCACAGCGUAUUUACCCUUUGAACUGCAAGGAGAUCUGUCAGAGUCGGUGACUGCAAUACAACUUUACAUCACCGCUAAAAUUAGCUAGAAAGCACUGUGUAUGCAUUUCAGAGAGAGUCUAAAAUGGAGCUUGCUUUGGCUAGACUCCUUGCUGCAUGCACGUUUUCUAAAAUUUUGCCUCCUCACCUUAAGGUAGCCACACAUCGUCAACGGCACGGAUUCCUCCAUGGGCCAGGCUCCUCACGGGACUUCCGUAUGACCUGUGAGACUCACUCUUCUCCCUUGUAUUGUGAAAACUGGCUCAGACUGCCUUGGCCAUGACCUGCUGUUCUAGUCUUCACAGCUGAGACUGUCCUGUCGUGUCCCCUCCCCCCUGCGACCGUGACCUGAACCACUGCUGUGUCACCCUUUGGCUCACAUCCCCUCAGUGGCAGGAGUGGGUGUCCUUAACCUGGUGGCGAGAAUGAGCAGGGCCAAGGUGUCCAAGGGAGGUGUUUGGAAUACGUUCGUGGAUCCUGGCCCUGUUGUAUGAUGUGUUUAACACGACUUGAAACUGGGUCAGGUUGUGGAAGGUGGGAACCUGAGGUUUAUCUGCAAUGAUCUGAUGGGCUUUCUAGGCACCACGCCAAAGGUGUGCACUGUGCUCUCCACAGCUUGCAGGUUGUGUGCCUGUAGGAGAUGAAGAGAAGGCGGGGAAAGGCCUUGUCUGUCUUCUGGGUAAACUAUAGACAUUUUCAAGGAACAGAGGAGCUGGCAUGAGGCUCAGAGGGUAAAGGUGCCUGGUGCUAGGUUCCCUACUGGAAAUUGAUUCCCCAGAAUCUACCCAUGUGGUUGAAGGAGAGAACCGACUCCCUUAAGUUGUCCUCUGCCAUCCAAAGGAGGACCCUGACACUCUGCUCUCUCUGCACCCCCAGUAAAUACAGUAAACAAAAACAGAAUAAAUUACCUACAAACUAUAUUACAAAGUUAGUGGGGUAGUGAUGUAAUUAAAGCGAAAAUCCUUUGAUAACAA
Mesocricetus auratus (golden hamster) is the source of this 2885-nucleotide long non-coding RNA. RefSeq lists it as uncharacterized. The record is from RefSeq and is a predicted model, not a curated record. The transcript is spliced from 2 exons. NCBI's taxonomy places the organism in Eukaryota, Metazoa, Chordata, Mammalia, Rodentia, Cricetidae.